Molecule: ribosomal RNA, 457 nt
Filed under: uncultured bacterium
Lineage: Bacteria
Description: partial 16S ribosomal RNA
Rfam family: Bacterial small subunit ribosomal RNA
Source: RNAcentral
CCUACGGGAGGCAGCAGUGAGGAAUAUUGGUCAAUGGACGAGAGUCUGAACCAGCCAAGUAGCGUGAAGGAUGACUGCCCUAUGGGUUGUAAACUUCUUUUAUAUGGGAAUAAAAUGUUCCACGUGUGGGAUUUUGUAUGUACCAUAUGAAUAAGGAUCGGCUAACUCUGUCCAGCAGCCGCGGUAAUACGGAGGAUCCGAGCGUUAUCCGGAUUUAUUGGGUUUAAAGGGAGCGUAGGUGGAUUGUUAAGUCAGUUGUGAAAGUUUGCGGCUCAACCGUAAAAUUGCAGUUGAAACUGGCAGUCUUGAGUACAGUAGAGGUGGGCGGAAUUCGGGGUGCAGCGGUGAAAUGCUUAGAUAUCGAAGAACUCCGAUUGCGAAGGCAGCUUACUGGACUGCAACUGACACUGAGGCUCGAAAGUGUGGGUAUCAAACAGGAUUAGAUACCCUUGUAGUC